RNAcentral lists this ribosomal RNA (598 nucleotides) under uncultured Acidobacteriota bacterium. Its description in RNAcentral is "SSU rRNA". It matches the Rfam family "Bacterial small subunit ribosomal RNA", at positions 242 to 856 of the family's 1533-position model. The record is from RNAcentral. Lineage: Bacteria; Pseudomonadati; Acidobacteriota.
CAGCUAGUUGGCGGGGUAAUGGCCCACCAAGGCGAUGAUCGGUAUCCGGCCUGAGAGGGCGCACGGACACACUGGAACUGAAACACGGUCCAGACUCCUACGGGAGGCAGCAGUGGGGAAUUUUGCGCAAUGGGGGAAACCCUGACGCAGCAACGCCGCGUGGAGGAUGAAGUAUCUUGGUACGUAAGCUCCUUUCGAUGGGGAAGAUUAUGACGGUACCCAUAGAAGAAGCCCCGGCUAACUUCGUGCCAGCAGCCGCGGUAAUACGAGGGGGGCAAGCGUUGUUCGGAUUUAUUGGGCGUAAAGGGUGCGUAGGCGGUUUGGCAAGUCUUAUGUGAAAUCUUCGGGCUCAACCCGAAGCCUGCAUAAGAAACUGCCGGGCUUGAGUAUGGGAGAGGUGAGUGGAAUUUCCGGUGUAGCGGUGAAAUGCGUAGAUAUCGGAAGGAACACCUGUGGCGAAAGCGGCUCACUGGACCAUAACUGACGCUGAGGCACGAAAGCUAGGGGAGCAAACAGGAUUAGAUACCCUGGUAGUCCUAGCCCUAAACGAUGAUUGCUUGAUGUGGCAGGUACCCAAUCCUGCCGUGUCGAAGCUAAC